CACAAGCGGUGGAUGAUGUGGAUUAAUUCGAUGCAACGCGAAAACCUUACCUACCCUUGACAUGUCUGGAACCUUGGUGAGAGCCGAGGGUGCCUUCGGGAGCCGGAACACAGGUGCUGCAUGGCUGUCGUCAGCUCGUGUCGUGGGAUGUUGGGUUAAGUCCCGCAACGAGCGCAACCCUUGUCACUAGUUGCCAUCAUUUAGUUGGGCACUCUAGUGAGACUGCCGGUGACAAACCGGAGGAAGGUGGGGAUGACGUCAAGUCCUCAUGGCCCUUAUGCCUGGGGCGGCACACGUGCUACAAUGGAUAGGACAGAAAGACGCAAGACCGCGAGGUGGAGCAAAUCUUUAAACCUAUUCUCAGUUCGGAUUGGAGUCUGCAACUCGACUCCAUGAAGCUGGAAUCGCUAGUAAUCGCGGAUCAGCCAUGCCGCGGUGAAUACGUUCCCGGGUCUU
RNAcentral lists this ribosomal RNA (456 nucleotides) under uncultured Thauera sp. Its description in RNAcentral is "bacterial SSU rRNA". It matches the Rfam family "Bacterial small subunit ribosomal RNA", at positions 924 to 1382 of the family's 1533-position model. Lineage: Bacteria; Pseudomonadati; Pseudomonadota; Betaproteobacteria; Rhodocyclales; Zoogloeaceae. The record is from RNAcentral.